GUUGUAUAGUCAAGUAAUUAAGUGCAUGUGGUGGAUGCCUUGGCAGUCAGAGGCGAUGAAAGACGUGAUAGCCUGCGAAAAGCUCCGGGGAGGCGGCAAAUAUCCUUUGAUCCGGAGAUGUCUGAAUGGGGGAACCCACCUACUUUAAGGUAGGUAUUGCAACAUGAAUACAUAGUGUUGCAAGGCGAACGAGGGGAAGUGAAACAUCUCAGUACCCUUAGGAAAAGAAAUCAAUUGAGAUUCCCUCAGUAGCGGCGAGCGAACGGGGAUCAGCCCAUUAAGUUAUGUGUGUUUUAGUGGAACGCUCUGGGAAGUGCGAACGUAGAGGGUGAUAUUCCCGUACACGAAAGGGCACACAUAAUGAUGACGAGUAGGGCGAGGCACGUGAAACCUUGUCUGAAUAUGGGGGGACCAUCCUCCAAGGCUAAAUACUCCUGACUGACCGAUAGUGAACCAGUACCGUGAGGGAAAGGCGAAAAGAACCCCUGUGAGGGGAGUGAAAUAGAUCCUGAAACCGCAUGCAUACAAGCAGUGGGAGCACCUUCGUGGUGUGACUGCGUACCUUUUGUAUAAUGGGUCAGCGACUUAUAUUCAGUAGCGAGGUUAACCGUAUAGGGGAGCCGUAGAGAAAUCGAGUCUUAAUAGGGCGUUUAGUUGCUGGGUAUAGACCCGAAACCAGGCGAUCUAUCCAUGAGCAGGUUGAAGGUUGGGUAACACUAACUGGAGGACCGAACCCACUGUCGUUGAAAAGCCAGGGGAUGACUUGUGGAUAGGGGUGAAAGGCUAAUCAAGCCUGGUGAUAGCUGGUUCUCCCCGAAAGCUAUUUAGGUAGCGCCUCGGACGAAUACCAUAGGGGGUAGAGCACUGUUUCGGCUAGGGGGUCAUCCCGACUUACCAAACCGAUGCAAACUCCGAAUACCUAUGAGUACUAUCCGGGAGACAGACUGCGGGUGCUAACGUCCGUAGUCAAGAGGAAAACAAUCCAGACCGCCAGCUAAGGCCCCAAAAUCAUAGUUAAGUGGGAAACGAUGUGGGAAGGCAUAGACAGCUAGGAGGUUGGCUUAGAAGCAGCCACCCUUUAAAGAAAGCGUAAUAGCUCACUAGUCGAGUCGGCCUGCGCGGAAGAUGUAACGGGGCUAAAACUAUGUGCCGAAGCUGCGGAUGUAUACUUUGUAUACGUGGUAGGGGAGCGUUCUGUAAGCCGAUGAAGGUGUGUUGAGAAGCAUGCUGGAGGUAUCAGAAGUGCGAAUGCUGACGUGAGUAACGACAAACGGGUGAAAAACCCGUUCGCCGAAAGACCAAGGGUUCCAGUCCAACGUUAAUCGGGGCUGGGUGAGUCGACCCCUAAGGCGAGGCCGAAAGGCGUAGUCGAUGGGAAAAUGGUUAAUAUUCCAUUACUUCUGUGUAAUGCGAUGAGAGGACGGAGAAGGCUAAAUCAGCCUGGCGUUGGUUGUCCAGGUGAAAGGAUGUAGGCAUGUAUCUUAGGCAAAUCCGGGGUACUCUAUGCUGAGAUCUGAUAGCAAGCUGUACUUGUACAGCGAAGUGGUUGAUGCCAUGCUUCCAGGAAAAGUCUCUAAGCUUCAGUUACACAGGAAUCGUACCCGAAACCGACACAGGUGGUCAGGUCGAGUAGACCAAGGCGCUUGAGAGAACUCUGCUGAAGGAACUAGGCAAAAUGGUACCGUAACUUCGGGAGAAGGUACGCUGUUGUUGGUGAUGGAACUCGCUUCCUGAGCUGACGACAGCCGCAGAAACCAGGCCGCUGCAACUGUUUAUUAAAAACAUAGCACUCUGCAAACACGAAAGUGGACGUAUAGGGUGUGAUGCCUGCCCGGUGCUGGAAGGUUAAUUGAUGGGGUUAGCGUAAGCGAAGCUCUUGAUCGAAGCCCCAGUAAACGGCGGCCGUAACUAUAACGGUCCUAAGGUAGCGAAAUUCCUUGUCGGGUAAGUUCCGACCUGCACGAAUGGCAUAAUGAUGGCGGCGCUGUCUCCAGCAGAGGCUCAGUGAAAUCGAAAUCGCUGUGAAGAUGCAGUGUACCCGCGGCUAGACGGAAAGACCCCGUGAACCUUUACUGCAGCUUGACACUGAACUUUGACCUUACUUGUGUAGGAUAGGUGGGAGGCUUUGAAGCUGGAACGAAAGUUCCAGUGGAGCCGUCCUUGAAAUACCACCCUGGUAAUGUUGAGGUUCUAACUCUGUCCCGUGAUCCGGGACGAGGACCGUGUCUGGUGGGUAGUUUGACUGGGGCGGUCUCCUCCUAAAGAGUAACGGAGGAGUACGAAGGUGCGCUCAGCGUGGUCGGAAAUCACGCGUAGAGUAUAAAGGCAAAAGCGCGCUUAACUGCGAGACCCACAAGUCGAGCAGGUACGAAAGUAGGUCUUAGUGAUCCGGUGGUUCUGUAUGGAAGGGCCAUCGCUCAACGGAUAAAAGGUACUCUGGGGAUAACAGGCUGAUACCGCCCAAGAGUUCAUAUCGACGGCGGUGUUUGGCACCUCGAUGUCGGCUCAUCUCAUCCUGGGGCUGAAGCAGGUCCCAAGGGUAUGGCUGUUCGCCAUUUAAAGAGGUACGCGAGCUGGGUUUAGAACGUCGUGAGACAGUUCGGUCCCUAUCUACCGUGGGCGCUGGAAAUUUGAGAGGAUCUGCUCCUAGUACGAGAGGACCAGAGUGGACGAACCUCUGGUGUACCGGUUGUGACGCCAGUCGCAUCGCCGGGUAGCUAUGUUCGGAAGGGAUAACCGCUGAAAGCAUCUAAGCGGGAAGCCUACCUCAAGAUAAGAUUUCCCUAGGACUUUAUGUCCUCUAAAGAGCCGUUCGAGACUAGGACGUUGAUAGGUUGGAUGUGGAAGCAUAGUGAUAUGUGAAGCUGACCAAUACUAAUUGCUCGUGAGGCUUGACUAUACAACACCCAAGCAGUUG
Molecule: ribosomal RNA, 2917 nt
Filed under: Acinetobacter baumannii
Lineage: Bacteria; Pseudomonadati; Pseudomonadota; Gammaproteobacteria; Moraxellales; Moraxellaceae
Description: bacterial LSU rRNA
Rfam family: Bacterial large subunit ribosomal RNA
Source: RNAcentral